This 256-nucleotide ribosomal RNA is filed under the name uncultured bacterium. RNAcentral describes it as "partial 16S ribosomal RNA". It matches the Rfam family "Bacterial small subunit ribosomal RNA", at positions 524 to 776 of the family's 1533-position model. The record is from RNAcentral.
UACAGAGGUCUCAAGCGUUUGUUCGGAUUCAUUGGGCGUAAAGGGUGCGUAGGUGGCGCCGUAAGUCAGGUGUGAAAUUUCGGAGCUUAACUCCGAAACUGCAUUUGAUACUGCGGUGCUUGAGGACUGGAGAGGAGACUGGAAUUUACGGUGUAGCAGUGAAAUGCGUAGAGAUCGUAAGGAAGACCAGUGGCGAAGGCGGGGUCGUCUGGACAGUUCCUGACACUGAGGCACGAAGGCCAGGGGAGCAAACGGG